AUUGAACGCUGGCGGCAGGCCUAACACAUGCAAGUCGAGCGGAUGAAGGGAGCUUGCUCCUGGAUUCAGCGGCGGACGGGUGAGUAAUGCCUAGGAAUCUGCCUGGUAGUGGGGGAUAACGUCCGGAAACGGGCGCUAAUACCGCAUACGUCCUGAGGGAGAAAGUGGGGGAUCUUCGGACCUCACGCUAUCAGAUGAGCCUAUGUCGGAUUAGCUAGUUGGUGGGGUAAAGGCCUACCAAGGCGACGAUCCGUAACUGGUCUGAGAGGAUGAUCAGUCACACUGGAACUGAGACACGGUCCAGACUCCUACGGGAGGCAGCAGUGGGGAAUAUUGGACAAUGGGCGAAAGCCUGAUCCAGCCAUGCCGCGUGUGUGAAGAAGGUCUUCGGAUUGUAAAGCACUUUAAGUUGGGAGGAAGGGCAGUAAGUUAAUACCUUGCUGUUUUGACGUUACCAACAGAAUAAGCACCGGCUAACUUCGUG
RNAcentral lists this ribosomal RNA (484 nucleotides) under uncultured bacterium. RNAcentral describes it as "partial 16S ribosomal RNA". It matches the Rfam family "Bacterial small subunit ribosomal RNA", at positions 30 to 507 of the family's 1533-position model. The record is from RNAcentral.